This 241-nucleotide ribosomal RNA is filed under the name uncultured Staphylococcus sp. RNAcentral's name for it is "partial 16S ribosomal RNA". It matches the Rfam family "Bacterial small subunit ribosomal RNA", at positions 99 to 334 of the family's 1533-position model. The record is from RNAcentral. Lineage: Bacteria; Bacillati; Bacillota; Bacilli; Caryophanales; Staphylococcaceae.
CGGACGGGUGAGUAACACGUGGAUAACCUACCUAUGAGACUGGGAUAACUUCGGGAAACCGGAGCUAAUACCGGAUAAUAUAUUGAACCGCAUGGUUCAAUAGUGAAAGACGGUUUUGCUGUCACUUAUAGAUGGAUCCGCGCCGCAUUAGCUAGUUGGUAAGGUAACGGCUUACCAAGGCAACGACGCGUAGCCGACCUGAGAGGGUGAUCGGCCACACUGGAACUGAGACACGGUCCAG